RNAcentral lists this long non-coding RNA (992 nucleotides) under Helianthus annuus (common sunflower). RNAcentral's name for it is "hypothetical non coding rna". The record is from RNAcentral. Lineage: Eukaryota; Viridiplantae; Streptophyta; Magnoliopsida; Asterales; Asteraceae.
UUCUCCUACCUUCACCCGCCGAUACGAAUAAAACCCUCCCCACCGUAUACUACCAAUUGUAUCGAUCUCGAUCUUCAACUAUCAACGCCAUUUGAUCUUCAAACCUGUCUCAGUAUAUUGUGAGAGGAGGAAGAGAUAUGUUUUAUUUGUUGCCCGAUGCUUUUAAAGGUAUUAAGCAGAGUGGUGUCAUUAGAUGGAGUUCUCAGGAGAUAGAGAGAUAAACAAAAAGGGAGAACACGCAAGAGCGAGAUCGAGAGAGAAAUAUGAGGGUGGCAGCGGAGGUGCUACGACGGCGCCAACCAUACCCCGGUGGUGAAUACAGAUGGAGCAGGUGAGUGAUGGUGGUAAUGAUUCGGCGGUGAAGACAGAUGGAGCAGGUGAGUGACGGUGGGAAUGAUUCGGUUACAGCCUUCCAUAAGGCGGUGGUCUACAAGAGCCACAUAAACAUCGUCGACGGUUCCAAUGUUAAAACGAAGAGGAAGACGAUGACAAAAAAACCCUAGCCGUUUCUUCCGGCGAUGGCAUCCAGGGUUUCGGCGAAGACUCCGACGAAGAUCUGGUAAGUCCUCCUUCAAUUGUAUGUUCCAUCGGUUGUUAGAUUGGUCUGCGUAAUGACGAUUCUGACCAAUACUGGUUGUUACAUGUUCCCGACAAUGGUUCCGCCACAUCUGAUGCACUCCGGUGUCGGGGAUUAGGGUUCCAACGGUGGUUAGUGGCUGAACCAACAGUGACCACAACGAUCAUCGCAAGUAUGUUCAUCAUCUUCAAGACUUCCGAUUAGCUCCUGAUUGUUCGUAAGCUAAUUUAGCAUUUUGGGGCAUAAUGUAAAUAAAAAGUUAUAUUAUAAUAUUUUGAAUUCGUUAUGUAUUUUGUUUAGAUUUGAAUCCACUCCACUGGUAGUUUUUUCUAGAAAACAUUAAAGUAAUAAUGUUUUGGACCCUCUGGCAAUUUUUUAUUCUCUCUAAUUGAAAAUUUUCAAGAUUUCGACCUUU